This 68-nucleotide transfer RNA is filed under the name marine eukaryotic metagenome. It matches the Rfam family "tRNA". From Rfam's summary of the family: Transfer RNA (tRNA) molecules are approximately 80 nucleotides in length. The record is from RNAcentral.
GGGAGUAGCUCAGCUGGUAGAGCAUUAGCCUUCCAAGCUAAGGGUCGCGAGUUCGAAUCUCGUCUCCC